CAGGAUAAUUCACUCUGAGCUUUAGGAGCUAUGCUCUUUGGGCUGUUCCAUGUAAUUACUUUGACAGCAGCUGGCUGGUGUCCACCAGGUUUCAUGGGUCACACAGCCCUUGGCAUAUGCUUGGCACUGUAUGAAUAACCAGGUGUGUUUGGGGUCCUCUGCUGGGGCAGCAAGCGUGGCUGCUGGCCCGUGUGUGAUGAGGACAGAAUAGCCACCAGCAAAGGUGCACUGAGAUGAGACCAGAUGCUAGUCUAAACUCACUCAUUCCCCAGCAAAUCAAAUGGGCAUGUUUCAAUAAUAAAUGACAAUAGAAAAGUGAAAGUUUGCAAACCACAUUAGUAACCCUAGAGUGAGGUUCCUAUUUUAAAAUUACUUUCUUUACCGAUACAAGGAUAAUUUUCUCCCUGUACCACCCUUAAACUUCAGUGUUUUCGUACCAAAUCACACAGUUUUAGUCUGUUGGCUCAAAUCUCGAAUGAAAGCAGCUUAUUUUCUCACUAAUGCCUUUUAAUUUCUCCUUUCAUCUGUUACUACUUCACUAUGCAAGUGCCUGUAGCACAGUAGCAUUGGGAUAGAGGUAACACACCUCGCAUUCUGGACUCUGCUGAGCUCUACUCAGGAGCAAGGGGAUCAGGAAGAUGAUGCUGGAGAAAAUCAGUGCCCUCCAGUCUCAACUCUGCCUUCUCCAAGCAAUUUUAAGUGGAUACCUAUGGCAACCCUGGAUAUCAGAGGGACAUCACCUCACUCCCUAUUCCAGUGACUCAGUUACUUCAGGGAGCAGACGUGUCCAGCUGCAUUUAUACGCCUCGGCUUUGGAUGACUAAAGGUAGGGAAGACAAACCCUUAGGCUCUGUCCACUGUAUUUUAAUAUGAUUUUAAAAUCAGGUUUCCCCAAGCUUGAGGAGCUGGCAGUAGUUGUGCUCAUCAGUGAUGGAGUCACAGGAGCAACAAAAAAGUUCUGAAAGGAAAAUUCAGCUUCAGGUUUUUUGCAGCAAAUUAAACUGUGGAAUACAUCAGAUUACUGAUCCACUUUGUAACUGUUUUU
This 1045-nucleotide long non-coding RNA is filed under the name Parus major (Great Tit). Its description in RNAcentral is "lncRNA (ENSPMJG00000019882.1)". Lineage: Eukaryota; Metazoa; Chordata; Aves; Passeriformes; Paridae. The record is from RNAcentral.